AUGCUUAUCUAGCAAGGGUGAUUCCAUUAUCAUGAAGGUGGUUUCACCAAGAAGAUACUUAUUCCUUACAUUCUGGAUGGGCUGAUUCUUAUUUCCUCAAAGGCAGGAAACUCUUGAUUAUUUAAUUUGUAACAAUGGAGAACUGCCAUGUUCACGCUCUCCC
This is a small nuclear RNA of Sarcophilus harrisii (Tasmanian devil), 163 nucleotides long. Its record names the gene U1. It matches the Rfam family "U1 spliceosomal RNA". Rfam says of the family: U1 is a small nuclear RNA (snRNA) component of the spliceosome (involved in pre-mRNA splicing). Its 5' end forms complementary base pairs with the 5' splice junction, thus defining the 5' donor site of an intron. NCBI's taxonomy places the organism in Eukaryota, Metazoa, Chordata, Mammalia, Dasyuromorphia, Dasyuridae. The record is from Ensembl.